CCUACGGGAGGCAGCAGUGAGGAAUAUUGGUCAAUGGGCGAGAGCCUGAACCAGCCAAGUCGCGUGAGGGAGUACUGCCCUAUGGGUUGUAAACCUCUUUUGUCGGGGAGCAAAAGCCGGACGUGUCCGGCUGUGAGAGUACCCGAAGAAAAAGCAUCGGCUAACUCCGUGCCAGCAGCCGCGGUAAUACGGAGGAUGCGAGCGUUAUCCGGAUUUAUUGGGGUUAAAGGGUGCGCAGGCGGAGUUUUAAGUCAGCGGUCAAAUCGUGGGGCUCAACCCCAUCCAGCCGUUGAAACUGGGGAUCUAGAGUGUGCGAGAGGUAUGCGGAAUGCGUGGUGUAGCGGUGAAAUGCAUAGAUAUCACGCAGAACCCCGAUUGCGAAGGCAGCAUACCGGUGAACAACUGACGCUCAGGCACGAAAGCGUGGGUAUCGAACAGGAUUAGAUACCCCAGUAGUC
This 458-nucleotide ribosomal RNA is filed under the name uncultured bacterium. RNAcentral describes it as "partial 16S ribosomal RNA". It matches the Rfam family "Bacterial small subunit ribosomal RNA", at positions 338 to 795 of the family's 1533-position model. The record is from RNAcentral.